AAGCCAGUCAAUGAUUCUGAUUAUCUGAAUGUGUUUCUGCAGAAAUUUAGAAAGAGCUGGCAAUGAUGAUGUCAUUUUAUGAGCCUUAAGGACAACUGAGGUCAUUAAAGACCCUGAAAAUGACUACAAUA
This is a small nucleolar RNA of Jaculus jaculus (lesser Egyptian jerboa), 131 nucleotides long. RefSeq annotates it as small nucleolar RNA SNORA33. The record is from RefSeq and is a predicted model, not a curated record. Lineage: Eukaryota; Metazoa; Chordata; Mammalia; Rodentia; Dipodidae. The transcript has a single exon.